RNAcentral lists this transfer RNA (74 nucleotides) under Vicugna pacos (alpaca). Its description in RNAcentral is "tRNA-Ser (ACT) (tRNA-Ser-ACT-3-1)". It matches the Rfam family "tRNA". From Rfam's summary of the family: Transfer RNA (tRNA) molecules are approximately 80 nucleotides in length. Their secondary structure includes four short double-helical elements and three loops (D, anti-codon, and T loops). Further hydrogen bonds mediate the characteristic L-shaped molecular structure. tRNAs have two regions of fundamental functional importance: the anti-codon, which is responsible for specific mRNA codon recognition, and the 3' end, to which the tRNAs corresponding amino acid is attached (by aminoacyl-tRNA synthetases). tRNAs cope with the degeneracy of the genetic code in two manners: having more than one tRNA (with a specific anti-codon) for a particular amino acid; and 'wobble' base-pairing, i.e. permitting non-standard base-pairing at the 3rd anti-codon position. Lineage: Eukaryota; Metazoa; Chordata; Mammalia; Artiodactyla; Camelidae. The record is from RNAcentral.
GGAGGGUAUAGCUUAGUGGUAGAGUGUGUGCCUACUAUGCACAAGGUCCUGGGUUCAAUCCCCCAGUACCUCCA